Molecule: ribosomal RNA, 619 nt
Filed under: uncultured bacterium
Lineage: Bacteria
Description: bacterial SSU rRNA
Rfam family: Bacterial small subunit ribosomal RNA (bases 1-519)
Source: RNAcentral
CCUACGGGAGGCAGCAGUGGGGAAUCUUGCGCAAUGGGCGAAAGCCUGACGCAGCCAUGCCGCGUGAAUGAUGAAGGUCUUAGGAUUGUAAAAUUCUUUCACCGGGGACGAUAAUGACGGUACCCGGAGAAGAAGCCCCGGCUAACUUCGUGCCAGCAGCCGCGGUAAUACGAAGGGGGCUAGCGUUGCUCGGAAUUACUGGGCGUAAAGGGAGCGUAGGCGGAUAGUUUAGUCAGAGGUGAAAGCCCAGGGCUCAACCUUGGAAUUGCCUUUGAUACUGGCUAUCUUGAGUACGGAAGAGGUAUGUGGAACUCCGAGUGUAGAGGUGAAAUUCGUAGAUAUUCGGAAGAACACCAGUGGCGAAGGCGACAUACUGGUCCGUUACUGACGCUGAGGCUCGAAAGCGUGGGGAGCAAACAGGAUUAGAUACCCUGGUAGUCCACGCUGUAAACGAUGAGUGCUAGUUGUCGGCAUGCAUGCAUGUCGGUGACGCAGCUACGACAUUAAGUACACUCCGCCGUCGGGGAGGUACGGGUCGGCGAAGAAGUUAAAACGUUAAAACGGUAAAGUUAGUACGGUCGUGAGACGUCGCCGACGGACGACGACGAGGGAGGUUAGG